Molecule: ribosomal RNA, 38 nt
Filed under: Lasiodiplodia theobromae
Lineage: Eukaryota; Fungi; Ascomycota; Dothideomycetes; Botryosphaeriales; Botryosphaeriaceae
Description: partial 28S ribosomal RNA
Source: RNAcentral
AACUUUUCUCAAGGUUGACCUCGGAUCAGGUAGGGAUA